UACGUAGGGAGCAAGCGUUAUCCGGAUUUAUUGGGUGUAAAGGGUGCGUAGACGGGAAGUCAAGUUAGUUGUGAAAUCCCUCGGCUCAACUGAGGAACUGCAACUAAAACUAACUUUCUUGAGUGCUGGAGAGGAAAGUGGAAUUCCUAGUGUAGCAGUGAAAUGCGUAGAUAUCGUAAGGAAGACCAGUGGCGAAGGCGGGUCUCUGGACAGUUCCUGACGCUGAGGCACGAAGGCCAGGGGAGCAAACGGG
RNAcentral lists this ribosomal RNA (253 nucleotides) under uncultured bacterium. RNAcentral's name for it is "partial 16S ribosomal RNA". It matches the Rfam family "Bacterial small subunit ribosomal RNA", at positions 524 to 776 of the family's 1533-position model. The record is from RNAcentral.